RNAcentral lists this long non-coding RNA (2270 nucleotides) under Papio anubis (olive baboon). RNAcentral describes it as "lncRNA (ENSPANG00000039674.1)". The record is from RNAcentral. Lineage: Eukaryota; Metazoa; Chordata; Mammalia; Primates; Cercopithecidae.
CAGGAGGCAUUUGCCAAGUAUGUUCUAGUGCCAGGCAUGAUGUGAUACAUAUCUCAUUAUCUCAUUAGUCUUCACCACCAUACUCUUUCUCGUCUAGAUCUUCAGGCAUGCAAAUCCCUAUGCCCAGCACAUUUCCGUGGACCCCUUCUGCUCCCUUGACAAUACUUGCUCCUUCCUACUCCACUCUUCACCUGGAUGGCCCUUCCCUUCAGGAUUCAGCUUGGGCCCAACUUCGCCUGGAUUAUCCUGCUCCUGUUUCCUCAGGAGCCAGCCGCCACAUUUUGAGGAAGAUAAAACUAAUGAUGACCUGAUCAUAUAUAGCAAACAGUAAACAAACAAACAAAAAUCAAAUUUUCAGGAAGAAUGCUUCAAGUAUGGAUUUACAUUCACUAUCGUUAAUGGCGAGCCCUGUCUAAGGUGUGGAUUAUGCCCUGAGAUAGUAGAAAAGAUAGUAAGAUGUCAUUAAGAAUAGCAGGCAUUUUAAAAUACUCUUUAUUUCAUGUUCAUGUCUCCUGUUAUACUUUCUAGUUUUAAUUUGUUAUUAUGAAGUGCAUAAUCUGUUGGCAUGGUUCUACACACAGGCACACACACGUACCAUAAAUCUAUUGAGGUGCACAUGCCAGUCUUUUUCAGCAUUAGGGUUACAUAUUUAGAGAAAUUUGAAGAUUGUUGAUUGAGGUCAUGGGAAACUGCUUUUGGAAGUUCUCGAGCAAUAGGAGAUAUGAUUGGAGCUGUGUUUGAGAGUGAUAAACUUCAUCACAACUCCCCCCACCCCACCCCCAGAAAAAGAAAAAAAAAAAAAAAGCAUUGCACAAGAAAUACAGAAAAGUGGAGUCUGGGAGAGAGCUGUUAAACAGCUUGACUCCUCCUUCUCCAAAAAUGUUGUUUUCCCUUCCUUCCUAAGGACCACUGACCUCCUCCAACCACCAACAAGAACUAUUGAGAUAUAUUCUACGAGCCAGGCCUUCUGUGGCUGCCUGCAUGGGAAGAAGACUGCCUAAAAAUAUUCCUUAACUAAUUUCCUCUCCUCUAGGUUUCUUGCUCUAUUACAAGCCAGUUCUAAGGAUCCUCAACUUUGACUUGCUAUUUGAGAUUAUUGGGUGUGUCUUGUGAUGUAGACAUUCCAAACUUACCUGUUUAAAGAAGGCAGACUUCCAGAAUAGCCAGAGAUAUGGGCUCUAGAGUCAGACAACCUGUCUUCAAAUCCCAGCUCUAUCAGGUAUUAUUAUGCUCACCUUGGGCUACUUUCUUUCUGCCACAGUUUCCUCAUCUGUAAAGUGAGAAUAAUCAUCCUAUCUGUGUGGCAGUGGGUAAGAAGUAAGAAAGAUAAUAAGUGUAUGUAAUCCCAGCACUUUGGGAGGCUGAGGUGGGCGGAUCACGAGGUCAGGAGAUCGAGACCAUCCUGGCUAACACGGUGAAACCCCGUCUCUACUAACAAUACAGAAAAUUAGCCAGGUGUGGUGGCGGGCGCCUGUAGUCCCAGCUACUCAGGAGGCUGAGGCAGGAGAAUGGCGUGAACUGGAAAGGCGGAGCUUGCAGUGAGCCGAGAUUGCACCACUGCACUCCAGUCUGGGCGACAGAGCGAGACUCUGUCUCAAACAAAACAAAACAAAAAAAGAUAAUGAGUGUAAAAGACAGAGUUAAUUCCUGGCAUAGAAAAAAAUUCCCAAGGAAUGUGAAUUCACAUCAUUACAAAGGAAUGAACUGAGACAUGGUCUGAAGGGCCUAGGGCAGAAACGGGUAAGGAGGCUUCCAGGAAUGCAGAUCCUUUAAUCUCUUUAAAGCAAUAUCCAAACAGAAGUCUAAGCCUCCACGGACGCUGGCAUGCUCAGGGAGGCCAGUGAAGGGGGCAGAGAUGGCUGCCUGUGAGUCACCCUCUCUCCUUGACUCAUCUGUCACCUCUGUUAUCUCUGGCUAUUGCUACAGUUUCUCCUGAGAAAUUAUGAAAUAAACGGCCUGCAUGGUAACGCCUGGGUGAAUAGGUGAAUCUCGGGCAUGUGGCCAACUCUCCAUUCACUUUAAGCAUCCUUGGGCUUAGUGAACUCUAGAUGAUCAAAUCUCUUUUAUCAAAAGAGAAAAUUAUAACAAAUUUAGUUUAAAGAUCUCAGUUGGCUUCAUUUGCAAUUCUAGAAUCCAGCAACACUACAUUCCGUAAAACGAAAUAAGUGUCCCAGUGAACGGAGCAGAAGAGAUUUGCUUUAUAGACAGAGAAGGGCCAAAGAAAGCAGGAGCAAAGAACAAAGACUGUAUUCGUUAUUUUUAGACAGAAC